UGAGACACAUUGCACUUUAUCAAGUCGCCAGUCAUAGUCAUAGUCACAGGCAUACCCAUAGUCAUACUCAUAGUCAGAGAUCAAGGGAGCUCGGGAAAAAUCACAAACUGGGGCUCCAUUGCGAUCCAGGGCCAAAAGGAAAAUUAUAGCGCGAUCACUUAACUCACGAUCGCGAUCGCGAUCAGUUGGGGGCAUUGAGAUUAUCCAGCUACUGGCAACGGAAGUUGCCUCGGACCAUGGAAACGCACGAAGUCACACGCGAAAAAUAUGUCUAGACCUUGGCAACGCACAGUGUUUAGCAAAAAGAAGCAGAGCAGUAGCCACAGCAGCAACCGAAUCCGCAAACAUAGCCUGGCCAACGAGAACGGAGACGCUGGAUCUGGGAGACCGGAGACCGAAGACUGGAGAGCAGGAGAGCCUGGCCUUCUUCUUCUGGGCCGUCAAAAACAAUAAAGUCCAAAACGAGCGAACAAUGUAAAUGGCAAGUCAUGAUUUCGCUGUUAUGCGCUGUUAAAAGGGGCGCUCGCCGUUCGACACGAUCAAGAACAAAAACCAAAAACCCAAAAACAAAAAAGUGUGGGGGCACAGGAUGAGGCUGAGGAUGGGGAUUAUUUUUUUUUUGGUACGGAAUUGGUACUGGGAUUGGGCCAAAAGAUGAGGAGGAUGCUACCGUUGCCAACAACGACGCCAACGCCAAUGCAAACGAUGGCCCGAAGACCAGAAGACAUGACCCAAAACAAUGCACACAGCCCAAAGAGAUCCCAUAUACCGGCCCAGAAGCAAAGUCAGCAGCCUCUGGAGAACCAACAAAAUACUUUACUCAUACUUUAUGCCCAAAAUGCUGGAGAGCCCGCGGGUUGACCAGAUCAAUGCAAUUGUUUGCCCCUUUUUAGUCAAGUUGUGCGCACUUCAUAAGCAAAUACAACAAAUCCAAACAACAACACACACACACAGCCAAAGAAAAGGGCCAAAAGAGCAAACAAUGGAAAUAACCUGGCUUUGAGUGCGGUGCUGCGUUUAUUUUUGUUGGGUUUUUGGAUUGUAUAUUUGGUAGAAAAGAGGAACGGAAAAGGAGUCAAGUCAAGAAGGUAGUUUGGCACUUUGAUUGGAACUACCGAAAAGUGCAGGAGAGAACCACAUUCUUGACGGACAUCGAAGCCUUUGAAUGCCCUACAACAUAUCAAUUUGAAAGAUUAUAUAUUUUAGCUUUAUUAAUUAACUAUCGAAACGGUGAAAGGUAAAGUCAAAGAAGUUGGUAGAACGAAUUGAAAGAUUAACACAAUAAAUCAUACCCAAAGAAUGCAGAUGCUUUUGCUUUUCACAUUUUCAA
This is a long non-coding RNA of Drosophila simulans, 1330 nucleotides long. RefSeq lists it as uncharacterized. The record is from RefSeq and is a predicted model, not a curated record. NCBI's taxonomy places the organism in Eukaryota, Metazoa, Arthropoda, Insecta, Diptera, Drosophilidae. The transcript has 3 exons.